RNAcentral lists this ribosomal RNA (557 nucleotides) under uncultured archaeon. RNAcentral describes it as "bacterial SSU rRNA". It matches the Rfam family "Archaeal small subunit ribosomal RNA", at positions 321 to 879 of the family's 1478-position model. The record is from RNAcentral.
CCCUACGGGGCGCAGCAGGCGCGAAAACUUCACACUGUGCGAAAGCGCGAUGAGGGAAUCCCAAGUGUUUGCUCGUUAGAGUAAACUGUUUCUUUGUUUAAAACGCAGAGAGAGUAAGGGCUGGGUAAGACGGGUGCCAGCCGCCGCGGUAAUACCUGCAGCUCAAGUGGUGAUCAUUAUUAUUGGGCCUAAAACGUCCGUAGCCGGUUUAGUAAAUGCCUGGGUAAAUCGUGUAGCUUAACUAUACGACUUCCGGGUAGACUGCUAAACUUGAGACCGGGAGAGGCUAGAGGUACUCCUGGGGUAGAGGUGAAAUUCUGUAAUCCUAGGGGGACCACCAGUGGCGAAGGCGUCUAGCUAGAACGGGUCUGACGGUGAGGGACGAAGCCCUGGGGCACAAACCGGAUUAGAUACCCGGGUAGUCCAGGGUGUAAACGCUGCUUGCUUGAUGUUAGUUGGGCUCCGAGCCCAACUAGUGUCGGAGAGAAGUUGUUAAGCAAGCUGCCUGGGAAGUACGGUCGCAAGGCUGAAACUUAAAGGAAUUGGCGGGGGAGCAC